This 683-nucleotide ribosomal RNA is filed under the name Streptomyces sp. tz6-1. RNAcentral's name for it is "bacterial SSU rRNA". It matches the Rfam family "Bacterial small subunit ribosomal RNA", at positions 56 to 756 of the family's 1533-position model. The record is from RNAcentral. Lineage: Bacteria; Bacillati; Actinomycetota; Actinomycetes; Kitasatosporales; Streptomycetaceae.
UGCAAGUCGAACGAUGAACCACUUCGGUGGGGAUUAGUGGCGAACGGGUGAGUAACACGUGGGCAAUCUGCCCUGCACUCUGGGACAAGCCCUGGAAACGGGGUCUAAUACCGGAUAACAGCCUCCAUCGCAUGGUGGGGGUUUGAAAGCUCCGGCGGUGCAGGAUGAGCCCGCGGCCUAUCAGCUUGUUGGUGAGGUAGUGGCUCACCAAGGCGACGACGGGUAGCCGGCCUGAGAGGGCGACCGGCCACACUGGGACUGAGACACGGCCCAGACUCCUACGGGAGGCAGCAGUGGGGAAUAUUGCACAAUGGGCGAAAGCCUGAUGCAGCGACGCCGCGUGAGGGAUGACGGCCUUCGGGUUGUAAACCUCUUUCAGCAGGGAAGAAGCGAAAGUGACGGUACCUGCAGAAGAAGCGCCGGCUAACUACGUGCCAGCAGCCGCGGUAAUACGUAGGGCGCAAGCGUUGUCCGGAAUUAUUGGGCGUAAAGAGCUCGUAGGCGGCUUGUCGCGUCGGUUGUGAAAGCCCGGGGCUUAACCCCGGGUCUGCAGUCGAUACGGGCAGGCUAGAGUUCGGUAGGGGAGAUCGGAAUUCCUGGUGUAGCGGUGAAAUGCGCAGAUAUCAGGAGGAACACCGGUGGCGAAGGCGGAUCUCUGGGCCGAUACUGACGCUGAGGAGCGA